AUGCAGUCCACUAGAUUUGUUCCAUACCACUCUCCAUCACAACCAAUGAACAAUGUGCUGCUAAUCACUGAGACUGAUGCACUUCUGGUGGUGCAAGGCCUCAACAAACGUUUGAUAGACUGCCCAUGGAGGCCCAGUGAUAUAGGAUAUCAACUCCAGUCUAAGCUGUCAUUCUCUGAAUGCAUGAUUGUCCACUGUAAGCGAGACUAUGCUAAUUCUGCUGCUCAUGCUCUAGUGCAACUUGGCCUCAGUGCUCCAUCUGAUUUAACCCUUGCAUGGGAUGAUGAUGUACCGACGCACAUUGCUGGAAUUGUAAGGGCCAACAAUGCCCAUACCGUUUCGUAA
Molecule: ribosomal RNA, 345 nt
Filed under: Triticum aestivum (bread wheat)
Lineage: Eukaryota; Viridiplantae; Streptophyta; Magnoliopsida; Poales; Poaceae
Description: partial small subunit ribosomal RNA
Source: RNAcentral